Molecule: long non-coding RNA, 447 nt
Organism: Bombyx mandarina (wild silkworm)
Lineage: Eukaryota; Metazoa; Arthropoda; Insecta; Lepidoptera; Bombycidae
Source: RefSeq, a predicted model, not a curated record
UACCCCGCUGGGCCAGAACCAGCCUGCCGGGUCGGAACGCGAUACACCGCCGACCGGGGUUUUGCAGUCAUCCUCCCCUAACUAAAUGCAAGUGACUUCUACUUAUUGUGAUGCUACUACUAGUAGCUCCAGCCACAGUAGGUCUCAUGUUAGUCAAGACAUUGGGUUGUUAGCACCUCAACACCUGACCUGCUAUUUCACCACUUUUCAAUGAAAAGCAGAGUGUACUCAAAUUACAACAAAUUACACAGUACCAGGAUAUAUAACUUAAACAACCAUGGGGAAAUAAAUAGUCGACAGUCUGCAAGAAGGAUGAACUGUUGGUGGAAUUAGCAUAUGCAGCUAGGAAUUUUAAACCUGUAUUUCCACAUAUUACUGAUGCAAACAAAUUUCAAAAUUAUUGUAUAUAACUAUUGAAUAAAACUAUAAUAAAACUAUUUUUAUAAA